RNAcentral lists this transfer RNA (76 nucleotides) under Faecalibacterium prausnitzii. Its description in RNAcentral is "tRNA-Lys". It matches the Rfam family "tRNA". From Rfam's summary of the family: Transfer RNA (tRNA) molecules are approximately 80 nucleotides in length. Their secondary structure includes four short double-helical elements and three loops (D, anti-codon, and T loops). Further hydrogen bonds mediate the characteristic L-shaped molecular structure. tRNAs have two regions of fundamental functional importance: the anti-codon, which is responsible for specific mRNA codon recognition, and the 3' end, to which the tRNAs corresponding amino acid is attached (by aminoacyl-tRNA synthetases). tRNAs cope with the degeneracy of the genetic code in two manners: having more than one tRNA (with a specific anti-codon) for a particular amino acid; and 'wobble' base-pairing, i.e. permitting non-standard base-pairing at the 3rd anti-codon position. RNAcentral also lists the same sequence under 7 other names. The record is from RNAcentral. Lineage: Bacteria; Bacillati; Bacillota; Clostridia; Eubacteriales; Oscillospiraceae.
GCGCUCGUAGCUCAGUCGGUAGAGCAUCUGACUUUUAAUCAGAGGGCCUGGGAUUCGAGUUCCCACGAGCGCACCA